This 483-nucleotide ribosomal RNA is filed under the name uncultured bacterium. Its description in RNAcentral is "partial 16S ribosomal RNA". It matches the Rfam family "Bacterial small subunit ribosomal RNA", at positions 28 to 507 of the family's 1533-position model. The record is from RNAcentral.
GACGAACGCUGGCGGCGUGCUUAACACAUGCAAGUCGAACGCUGAAGCUCAGCUUUUGUUGGGUGGAUGAGUGGCGAACGGGUGAGUAACACGUGAGUAACCUGCCUCCUUCUUUGGGAUAACGCCCGGAAACGGGUGCUAAUACUGGAUAUUCACUGGUCUUCGCAUGGGGGUUGGUGGAAAGGGUUUUUCUGGUGGGGGAUGGGCUCGCGGCCUAUCAGCUUGUUGGUGGGGUGAUGGCUAACAAAGGCUUUGACGGGUAGCCGGCCUGAGAGGGUGACCGGUCACAUUGGGACUGAGAUACGGCCCAGACUCCUACGGGAGGCAGCAGUGGGGAAUAUUGCACAAUGGGCGCAAGCCUGAUGCAGCGACGCCGCGUGAGGGAUGGAGGCCUUCGGGUUGUGAACCUCUUUCGCUCAUGGUCAAGCCGCAACAAUGGUUGUGGUGAGGGUAGUGGGUAAAGAAGCGCCGGCUAACUACGUG